Molecule: long non-coding RNA, 444 nt
Organism: Sciurus carolinensis (gray squirrel)
Lineage: Eukaryota; Metazoa; Chordata; Mammalia; Rodentia; Sciuridae
Exons: 2
Source: RefSeq, a predicted model, not a curated record
GUCCAAGACUGAUACAGUUCUUAUCUUAUGUAGAAAGAAAACAGAAAACAUGCGGUGGGAAUACUUUACUCAGGUUGAAAAGGAAUGUAAAGAGAAAGAAAAGCCUUCAUACGACACUGAAACAGAUCCUAGUGAGGGAUUAAUGAAUGUUCUAAAGAAAAUUUAUGAAGAUGGAGAUGAUGAUAUGAAGCGAACCAUUAAUAAAGCCUGGGUGGAAUCAAGAGAGAAGCAAGCCAAAGGAGAUACAGAAUUUUGAGACUUUUUAAAAAAAGUUUUUCUGGGAACUGUGAUGUGGAAAUAUGGAUGUUUCCAAUAAGGGAAUGUUGGAGAGAUGCACAUAUAAAUUUGACGUAACUAUUUACACAGUAAAGGCAGUAAAUUCUCCAUUUCUUUACUGGAGGAUUUGUUUAAAUAAAAUGUGCUUAUUAAAUACUUCAAAGAUGG